GAUGAAGAACGUAGCGAACUGCGAUAAGUAAUGUGAAUUGCAGAAUUCAGUGAAUCAUCGAGUCUUUGAACGCACAUUGCGCCCCCUGGCAUUCCGGGGGGCAUGCCUGUCCGAGCGUCAUUGCUGCCCUUCAAACCCGGCUUGUGUGUUGGGUCGUCGUCCCCCCCGGGGGACGGGCCCGAAAGGCAGCGGCGGCACCGCGUCCGGUCCUCGAGCGUAUGGGGCUUUGUCACCCGCUCGAUUAGGGCCGGCCGGGCGCCAGCCGGCGUCUCCAACCUUCUAUUUUACCAGGUUGACCUCGGAUCAGGUAGGGAUACCCGCUGAACUUAAGCAUAUCAAUAAGCGGAGGA
RNAcentral lists this unclassified non-coding RNA (350 nucleotides) under soil metagenome. RNAcentral describes it as "partial contains 5.8S ribosomal RNA, internal transcribed spacer 2, and large subunit ribosomal RNA". The stretch from base 1 to 120 matches the Rfam family "5.8S ribosomal RNA", at positions 35 to 154 of the family's 154-position model. The record is from RNAcentral.